GAUGAACGCUGGCGGCGUGCUUAACACAUGCAAGUCGAACGAUGAAGCCCAGCUUGCUGGGUGGAUUAGUGGCGAACGGGUGAGUAACACGUGAGUAACCUGCCCUUAACUCUGGGAUAAGCCUGGGAAACUGGGUCUAAUACCGGAUAGGAGCGUCCACCGCAUGGUGGGUGUUGGAAAGAUUUAUCGGUUUUGGAUGGACUCGCGGCCUAUCAGCUUGUUGGUGAGGUAAUGGCUCACCAAGGCGACGACGGGUAGCCGGCCUGAGAGGGUGACCGGCAAACUGGGGAGGGGACACGGCCCAGGCCCCCUCGGGGAGGAAGAAUGGGGAAAAUUGCAACAAGGGGGCAAAGCCGAUGGAGCGACCCCGGCGGGAGGAUGACGGCCUUUGGGUUGUAAACCCCUUUCAGUAGGGAAGAAGCGAAAGUGACGGGACCGGCAGAAGAAGCACCGGCGAACUACGU
RNAcentral lists this ribosomal RNA (464 nucleotides) under uncultured bacterium. RNAcentral describes it as "partial 16S ribosomal RNA". It matches the Rfam family "Bacterial small subunit ribosomal RNA", at positions 28 to 506 of the family's 1533-position model. The record is from RNAcentral.